This 4158-nucleotide unclassified non-coding RNA is filed under the name Neodiprion lecontei (redheaded pine sawfly). RNAcentral describes it as "cD63 antigen, transcript variant X3". The record is from RNAcentral. Lineage: Eukaryota; Metazoa; Arthropoda; Insecta; Hymenoptera; Diprionidae.
CAACAGUAGCAAUGCUUUUUUAGCGCCACUUUGUGUACACAUACGUGUACAUCGAGGAGUUUUUUCUUGUGGAUAAAAUACAAAUUCAAUACAAUACAAUUAUUGCGAGACUAAUAGAAAGUAGUUCCCCGUUCGGAGACAAGCAAAUGCGCGCGCAACGGUGUGCUACGACAGACAACAAAAAUAUCCGUGCGUACUUCAUAGCAGACCGAGCCUUCGAGGAGUCGACAGCCUGCCAGACAAUUAAUUGUUCCAGGCCCUCUGCUAGUAGUAGAAGUGAGGAGUCUAUAUACGCUUUACGUGUUACGUAUAAUCGAUCCCGGUGUCAGUCGAGUAUCGUUAGUGCGGCGGAAGUCUCUGUUGUUGAUUAACCGGCGAAGUUUGACAUAAAUUAAACCGUGAAGAUGGUGUCCGGUGGUAUGACGUGCGUCAAGUACCUGCUAUUUCUCUUCAAUCUCGUAUUCGCCAUAACCGGAAUCGUUUUCAUUUCGGUCGGCGCCGUUAUACUCGGCUUGUAUAAGGGGUACAGUAACUUUGUGGAUCCGUGGUUCUUCGCCGCUCCCGUUCUCAUGAUUGUCGUUGGAAUCAUCGUAUUCCUAGUAUCGUUUUUCGGCUGCUGCGGAGCUGUCAAGGAGAACCACUGCAUGAUCAUAACGUUCUCUCUUCUAUUGCUCUUGAUAUUUGCACUGGAAAUUGGUGCCGGCAUCUCUGGAUACAUGAUGCGGAACGAAGUCGGAACGAUGCUUGACAAUCAUCUGAAUACUACCAUGUCGGAGUAUUUAACUAACAAAGAAGCCGAGAAUUCGUGGGACAUCAUGCAGCAUGACUUGGACUGCUGCGGUAUGGAUGGCCCAAAGGACUGGGAGAAGGUAUUUAAAACCACCGAGUUACCAGAGGCAUGCUGCACCGAACUUGAUAUGGAUAAGAAAUGUGAUGAAAACUUAAUUGAGAUUCGUCAUGAGGGCUGUAGUAUGAAAUUACAAAACGCAAUUGAAGAUAAUGCUGUGAUCAUCGGUGGUGUGGGUAUUGGAAUUGCUCUGGUUCAACUGAUCGGAGUAAUCUUUGCGUGCUGCUUGGCUCGCUCCAUCCGGCGCGAGUAUGAGACUGUGUAAGCGUUUACAGAUAUGAAUUUUCACUGUAAUCUGCCUACCAUGCACUUUCUACAAAUUCUGUUCUGUCACACUGUCUACACCAUGUUCCUAUCUUGAAACCACAGCACACUGAUCCGCCACCACUUAGGAGGCACAUUUCAUUAUAUUGUUCAUCAUACAUUGUUGGCUGGUUAUUCAUACGGUUCAUUACGAUUGUAGUUUUCUUGUGCUUACGAACAUGUAACAAAAGAGGAAUAGUGGAGCAUUAAACGGAGUGAAAAAAUAAUCAGAGACAACAAUAUUCCAGAAAUUAGUAGAAGAUAAAAAUGCCGAGCUCCUGCCUUACAAAUGUUUCAUAUGUUACUCUUAUGGAUGUACACAAGUAUACGGAGUAUUACCGUACAUGAGUCUUUUGCCUCUCUGCAACGUUGAAUGUGGAAUGAUUAUGGUAAAAUACCAUUAUUCCUCUUUAUACUCUUUAUCUAUCAUACUCACGAGUAAAAAAUAUGUAACGGCUAUCAGUGCGAUUUCUUCCAUAAUUGGAUAUUAAAUUGUCGGCUUGAAUUAUUGCCGUAAAAUAAGUUUAAAGUUCUUACAGCUUGAAUAAUAUUUUCAAUGUGACUAAACCUCGAUAAAUUCUCAAUGCCGUAGUUAAUUGACUGACAACCAGUAUACUUUAUUGCAAAUUUAAUGUCAGAUAUGAAACAAGCAAAAAAUGAUAAUUUAAGGAAAGAGCAUACAACGUCCACACAACUUGCACGAUAGUGUGAUAUGUAUAAGUAUACAUGAGUAAUUUUGUAUUUUACUACAUCUGUAUAUGUAGUUUGAUAUAAAUAAAAGAAAAAAAAAAUACGGCAGAAAAUACAAGUAAAAUCUUUGCCAAAAUGUUAUGUGAAUCAUUGCUGCAAGAAACAUUGAUGAUAUCGAUAUAAAAAAAUUCAGUACUUCUAGGUACUCGGAUUUGUGGCGCAUGUAUGUACAGUACAUACAUACCGCAUGUAAAAGAAAUGGAACAGUAUGAUGCAUAUGGUAACAUCACUCUUGUCAAUAAUUCAGUAUCUGUGUCAGUGAACUCUCCUCAUAUAUUGAUUCUCUUUGUUUCCUUAGAUAGGUUGGCACUGGCUACUUGUUCUCGAACUAGAAGUAGCGAGUUGUAAUUAAAAUUUUGAACCCCCUUUUCCACAUAUUUCAAAGUAAUCAUUUUAUGUUUCAUUCUCCAACUUAAUUAUGAAACCUAUGCAGUACAUGCAAUUUUCACAGUAACGGAACAAUUUUAGUAAUUACAUGCACUAAAGUCAUAGUAACGUAGUACGGGAAAGAAUUGAAUUUCGAUCAAUAUAUGCGUAAUAUUACCGUGCCAUCUGUAAAUUCGUUGAACCAUAAACUCAAAAGAGACUCAAAGUUGCAAUUCAUGGUCUUAUUUCUUUAUAUUAGUAUAACGCUUCAUAUCCUAGUUUUAUUUACGUCAUUUUAUGUUACUAAAGCUAAAGAAAAUAACAACUAACGUUACUGAUCUAAGUCAUUAAGAAUUUAGAAAGUUUGACAAUUAUUGAAGCAGACUACGGAUGUUCGAUUUUUCCUCGAUUGCCUAAACAGUAAAAAUUAGUGAAUGUUUCAUUCGACUGUAAUGGAAGCAUACCCUGAUUUAUUGAGAGAUAAAUUUCGAUAUCACAAUGAGAUACGUACUUUUGGUCUUUGAAUGAAAUUUAUUGGGGAUAAUUAUAUGGAACAAUUGUGUAAAACAUUAAUUACUCGAACAUCCGAUUAAGCCAUGAUGAACACUGUUUUUUACUUUCGUCAAAAUUAAAAUUUCAUUCUUCGUCAACACAUAAGCAGUAAAAUAAUCUGUUCACACAUCAUAGUGAAAGUAGUCAGUCAUGUGUAUGAAGUGAUACAUAUGUUGCAAGAGAAGAAUUACAAUAUAAAUCUAAAUAUAGUAUAUGUUAGAAUAGUUUCUUGAGAGUUUUUUAGUCAUGGGUACAAUAUGGUACACAUAAUUUCGCUUAUUUAAGAUUGUUUACAGCACUAUAGCUCUAAGUUUCCUCCUUUAAAAUUUGUAUUACCUAUUAAUUAAAUCAUGAUCGCUUCAUCAAUGAUUUAGAUCCAUCCCCGGUGCACGUGUAUCAGAACGACAUUUACAAUCAGACUUCAGAUGAGACUGACAAUUAUUACGAUAAUCAGUAUUAACAACUUAAAAUAUUUUUCCAUGCGAGAUAUUGUAUACAUAAAUUUAUACGACAUAAAAUUUUGAUCGCUCGUGGUAAAUUCCGAAAAAAAAAAUAAAAAUUAUAAAAAAAUAACGAAGGAGGGAAAAUGUUCUCUAUCCAUUGAAAUUAUUACUCAGUGUACACAUUGAAUGUAAUAUUUUGUUUACUCGUACUUUAUAACUUUUUGGCUACUCAUUUAUAAGGAUCUAAUACUGUCUAUCCUUAGCACAUAUUUGUCUAGCUAUUAUAACUCAUUAAAAUAAAUAAACUAUAAUUACGUAUUCGUUUAUUUCAAACCUGUUAUUUAAUGUCUACUUUUGAAAUAUUUGAUUUUACUGGUUUACCAUUUUCUUAUAAUUGUACGAAGAUGUAACAAAAAAUCAGAGACCACUGGUUAUGGAAAGAAAUAAGUGACACGAUUAUGUAUAAUGUAGUUUAUUUAAUCUUGAUAUCAAUGCCACUAACUAGCAGACUAACAUUUACCAUAUUGAAUAUUAAACGAAACUUGAACGUUUCUUCUACACAGAGUCAUUCAGAAUAGGAAGUUGCAGUAAUUGCACUUAGUACCACAGCCCACAUUUGUAUUUAAAAUGUCCACAUAAUAGUUUUACGCGUGAAAUAACUCUGUAACAAUUUUCCACAACUUCCAUUACUGCAUCGCUCGUGAAAUCAUAAUAAUGAUAAUGUUCAAUAAUAAUUAUAUAAAUGAUAAUGAUGAGGGAAUCUUCAAUGCACAAGGAAAUCAGAGAGAUUCACAUUAAUUACGAAAUCAAUAAAUAAUUAUUAAAUUGAGAGAUCUCUGACAGUUGAUAAUUUCGAAUUAGCUUAUAUAGAAAUACAUAUAUUUAAAAAAUACAAUU